RNAcentral lists this ribosomal RNA (595 nucleotides) under uncultured Bacteroidota bacterium. Its description in RNAcentral is "bacterial SSU rRNA". It matches the Rfam family "Bacterial small subunit ribosomal RNA", at positions 122 to 715 of the family's 1533-position model. Lineage: Bacteria; Pseudomonadati; Bacteroidota. The record is from RNAcentral.
CAACCUGCCGUCUACUCUUGGACAGCCUUCUGAAAGGAAGAUUAAUACAAGAUGGCAUCAUGAGUCCGCAUGUUCACAUGAUUAAAGGUAUUCCGGUAGACGAUGGGGAUGCGUUCCAUUAGAUAGUANGCGGGGUAACGGCUCACCUAGUCUUCGAUGGAUAGGGGUUCUGAGAGGAANNNUCCCCACAUUGGAACUGAGACACGGUCCAAACUCCUACGGGAGGCAGCAGUGAGGAAUAUUGGUCAAUGGGCGAGAGCCUGAACCAGCCAAGUAGCGUGAAGGAUGACUGCCCUAUGGGUUGUAAACUUCUUUUAUAAAGGAAUAAAGUCGGGUAUGGAUACCCGUUUGCAUGUACUUUAUGAAUAAGGAUCGGCUAACUCCGUGCCAGCAGCCGCGGUAAUACGGAGGAUCCGAGCGUUAUCCGGAUUUAUUGGGUUUAAAGGGAGCGUAGAUGGAUGUUUAAGUCAGUUGUGAAAGUUUGCGGCUCAACCGUAAAAUUGCAGUUGAUACUGGAUAUCUUGAGUGCAGUUGAGGCAGGCGGAAUUCGUGGUGUAGCGGUGAAAUGCUUAGAUAUCACGAAGAACUCCGAUUG